AACGUAGGAGACAAACGUUAUCCGGAGUUACUGGGCGUAAAGGGCGUGUAGGUGGUUUUGUAAGUCUGGCGUGAAAUAUCUCGGCUUAACCGAGGCAGGUCGUCGGAUACUGCAAGACUCGAGGACGGUAGAGGCGUGUGGGAUUCCGGGUGUAGUGGUGAAAUGCGUAGAGAUCCGGAGGAACACCAGUGGCGAAGGCGACACGCUGGGCCGUACCUGACACUGAUGCGCGACAGCAUGGGGAGCAAACAGG
RNAcentral lists this ribosomal RNA (253 nucleotides) under uncultured bacterium. RNAcentral's name for it is "partial 16S ribosomal RNA". It matches the Rfam family "Bacterial small subunit ribosomal RNA", at positions 524 to 776 of the family's 1533-position model. The record is from RNAcentral.